Molecule: ribosomal RNA, 253 nt
Filed under: uncultured bacterium
Lineage: Bacteria
Description: partial 16S ribosomal RNA
Rfam family: Bacterial small subunit ribosomal RNA
Source: RNAcentral
UACGUAGGGGGCAAGCGUUGUCCGGAUUUAUUGGGCGUAAAGAGCGUGUAGGCGGCCAGACAAGUCUGCUGUGAAAACUCGAGGCUCAACCUCGAGCUGUCGGUGGAAACUGUCUGGCUAGAGUCCGGAAGAGGAGAGUGGAAUUCCUGGUGUAGCGGUGAAAUGCGCAGAUAUCAGGAAGAACACCCGUGGCGAAGGCGGUUCUCUGGGACGGUACUGACGCUGAGACGCGAAAGCGUGGGGAGCGAACAGG